AUAUUUCCUUCACCUUCUAGCAUUUCAAAAUUACUGUAAACAUUGUGUUCGCACAUUUCCCUUUAAAAAAGGGUGACCAGUCUAUGAAGGGUUUCCUUGAUAAUUUUAGUUCUAGUUGCAGAAAGUCUCCAUGAGGACACAGUAUAGUUACCUAAAAGGCAACAAAUUUACAAACAAUAUCUUUACUUUUUCAAACCAAGAACCUAUGUGUUGAGAUAUUUUAAAAUUUUUGUGUAAUAGGGGAGCAGUUUUGUUUAAAUAAUGAUGCAUAAAUUAUCUAAAUAGUAGUGUUUAUGCUUCUUACCUUUUUCUUAAACAUAAUUUCCCUGCCCUACCCAAACAAAAUUUCAUAGUGUGAAACAGAUAACAGUUUAAUAGUUGCUAUGUUAUGUUUAACAAAGACUUUCUUGAUCUAGCUACUCUAGACCUAUCUGUCCGCCAAGAGAGUUGGGGCCAGAGGUAGUGGUAAUUAAGUAUCUUCGUGGUGUAAUUUUACAAAAAUUAAGGACGCUUGAAAUUCAUUAGAAAUGUUUAGAAUCUAACAGUAGUCUUAAUCAUUAACAGAUAAAAAUAAAAGUAUUAAGAUACUGGUAACCUUCUGACAUAAAAUGUUUUAUUUAUUGUCAUUUAUUGUCAUUGCUCUAUUAUGACACUAAGUCAUAAUGUUUAAUUUUGUAGAUAUAGAUGCAUGUUUCAUUUUAUUCAUGCAUUUUUUUUAUCCAUAUUUUGCUUGGUUGUUGACUUAAUAGAUCUCUUUAACUCUUUAAAAAGUUAUUAAAAGUUCAAUAUGCUUCAAAAACAUGGCAGCCUGUCUUUCCAAUAACAAUAUACGCUAUAUAAAAUUAAACUUAAAUAGUUUCUAAAAUAUAUCUCUUUAUCUUCAGAAAAAUCAAAUUACAUUUUCGUAAUCGCAAUUUUUUCUGCAGAUUCUUAAAAUAAUAUAGAAACCUAAUUUUGCGUACGUUGUAACGUAACUUAAUACCAUUAUAAGACUAAAAGUAAAUAGAUCUAGAUGCCAAUGAGAUAUAAAUUACACAUUUUAAAGAAUUUUGAAAAUCAGAUAAGUGGUUCAAAUGUUAUGAAUUGUUUUAGUUCAUUUUUCUGACCUCUUUGUCAUUUUAUUUUAAGAAAUUUUGUCCCACUUUUGCUCACUUUUGGUUAAAAUCAUUUCUUGUGAAUAAUGUUUAAAACUGAUGUUUCUCCAUACUUAACAAUUUUACUGCUUCAUACUGCUCUGUAACAAUAUUUGUUAAAUUUUCAGGAGAAAAACUGUCAAUGCUUUCUUUUCUUUGUUGACCUUGAUGCUGGAUUGACAUGAAUCUGAACUGCAUUGAACAUUCUCUCCAAGCCUUCUUUUUCUAUAGCCGCAUAUUUCUUUUCCCUGUCCAAUAACUUCCUACUAAUAUAUGCUAUUGGGAAUUUCCCAUCUGGAAAUUCUUGUAACAGGACUGCCCCUAGCCCCUGAUCGGAUGCGUCAGUUCUUACAAUCAACUGCCUGUUGAGAUCCACUUUAGUUGUCACAGGACGCUAGCAGUGUGCUGGUGCCUGCUUCAACUGGUCAUUGUCUAGGGCAAUUCUGGAGGCCCGACUGUUGACGCUGGAACGUGUAGGUUAUUAAUUUUUCGUGGCUUUAGCUGGUCGCGAUUUAGGUGUUUGUUUAUACAAUUAACAUAUAAAACUAAACACCAGAAUUUAGUUAGAAACACAAAGGCGUAUAACUUUAUUAACAUGCAAUAUAGAAUCUUCCAAAAAUGUUUAAAUACAGGUACAUCAAUAAAACUGGCGACUAAACUAAGAUCUCUAAAUGACUGUGAACGUUAGAUUUCAAUAUAGUAUUCUAGUACAAUAUUAGGAAAACACGAAGAAGCGGGAAAUGCGACUGUCCGCUCUACAAAACCCACGCCAAUUGCCCCUUUGUCCCCAAAAUCCCCAGGUCAUGUACAAUUUCCAGCAAUCACUAAAAAUCACAUCCAGGGCAAAAAAAUGAGUUCUGGCCCGUUGAUGCUUGUUGAACAAAAAAUGCAGUCUCUGUUUGCUGUAGUCCACUCUAUGUUGAUUAUUCUUGGACUUUUCUCUUGUUGUGUACCAGGGUGACAUGUUCAUUUAAAACAACAUUCUGUGUUAGCUGACAAAUAAGAACAUGCUUUUAGUCUUUAAGAGACAGUUUUCUUGUACCAGGUUUAUGGCUGAGGCAAAAUAAAAUAUAGGAGUUGGCUUAACACAUUUCAAACAGCCAAUAAAACAAUUUUUCCACCACCUGAUGGUUUUUCUUUCAAAGACACAGUAGUAGGUCACUUACUGGUCUAGCAUGACAAAAAUGAUAACAAGUUAAAUCCCAUGUAAAAAAAUCUACUUGAAAGAAAAAAUACAUGCUCUUUGCAAAUAACAAAGAUUAACAGUUAUUGACCCAUUAAAAAAAAGUUCUACAUACUGAUGACAUCUAUGUUAAUUGAUCUUCAAAGCCUGAUUUUAAAAAUGUGUUUUAUGUUAUUUAAUGUUCAUAAAAAUUAAAUGUUUCCACUUCUAUUCUAUUAAAUUUGUGUGCAUUAGGUUUGCCACCAUGCAUCCUCUUCUGCUACAUUUCAAACUUUUUGUCUUUAGCUUGUUUUUCCUUUUACUUGUUCUUUCUUUUAUUCUUUCUCCUCUUCCUUUUUGUUUUUCUCUUUCCAUCCAUUUACCUAAUUAUCUAUUCUCAAUAUCUUCUUUUUCUUAGCACUUUCUCUUCAUGUUCCUAAGUUCUUCACCACUUAUAAGACUUGGCAUUGUCUAGAUUGGCCACUCACUUUCUCCUCACUUUCCUAAAUUCUUCACCACUUAUAAGACAUGGCAUUGUCUAGAUUGGCCACUCACUUUCUCCUCACUUUCCUAAGUUCUUCACCACUUAUAAGACUUGGCAUUGGCCACUCACUUUCUCCUCACUUUCCUAAGUUCUUCACCACUUAUAAGACUUGGCAUUGUCUAGAUUGGCCACUCACUUUCUCCUCACUUUCCUAAAUUCUUCACCACUUAUAAGACUUGGCAUUGGCCACUCACUUUCUCCUCACUUUCCUAAGUUCUUCACCACUUAUAAGACUUGGCAUUGUCUAGAUUGGCCACUCACUUUCUCUUCAUUUUCCUAAGUUCUUCACCACUUAUAAGACUUGGCAUUGUCUAGAUUGGCCACUCACUUUCUCUUCAUUUUCCUAAAUUCUUCACCACUUAUAAGACUUGGCAUUGUCUAGAUUGGCCACUCACUUUCUCCUCACUUUCCUAAAUUCUUCACCACUUAUAAGACUUGGCAUUGUCUAGAUUUCUCUUGCCAUUCACUUUGCCUUUUAUAAAAAGGACAGUUGGAACACUUUGUCACUAGUGAUUGUUGCUUGAUUGCUGGGAUGUCACUUUACUUUGCACAUGUCAUCCUAGGUGUGCAACAACUUCAGGAAUUGUUGGCAUCAUCAUUACAACCUUGGGAUUGGUAUCCAUUUAAUUUGGAACAGAACAUUUCAUAGCUGAUGUAGCUCAAUCUUGUGCUUUAUUAUGUCUGUUAGGCCUAAUUCCUUAGUGAUGACAUCUUCGUAUUCUACUAGUAGCUGCUUGAUUCCUCAAAUUCCUUUGGUAUUUCUUUAGAUACUUCUGUAUUUUGUGACACUGCACAUAUUUCUUUACCUUAUUAAUUACUUGUGAUUACAUGCGCAUUAUUCAAGUCAAUCAUAGCAACAUCAUUAGCUAAGAGGCACUGUUAUAUUUUCUUUAUUUAUCAAUGCUUACAAAGAAUAGCUUGAGGGAGUUUUUUUUUCUGCUGGAGCCUCUGACAUGUGCUAUUUCUGACCACAGAGUCAUCAAUGCUGUCUCAUGCCAACAAUGUUACCAGAACAUUGUAAACUCUGGGGUUACCCUCCACUCUAUGCUUAUGGUGUAUCUUAAAGGUUUUCUUGACUUUAGCCAUGUGGCCCAUUCAUCUGUCACACCCAGGAUGAUUGCUUCCACCACAAAGUCUGGUUCACACAAAGGAUUUUGAAAUAUCCUUGAUCUUUGUCUUGUUGAUUGUGGGAGACCCAGUGGAGAGUGAUGUAGACUUUUCUCCCUCCAAAGGACUCAUCUCAAUUGUAAUGUGACUCUCCUCCCCAAUGGAUUUCUACAAAUGAGAUUCGGAUGUGUUUGGAUCCUCUCUUUGUCUAUUUCUAAGUAGAUUGGUGAGUCGAGAGAGCUCAACUCUAGCUUUCCUUCCUCUUCUCCUUUCCUCUGACUGAGCAUUCUCACUUGGAUCCUCAGAGAGUUCUUUGCCUUUUGUUUUUUUUUGUUGUUUUUUUGGUGUAGUUGGGGCUGAGUUGUUCCCCAUUGUUUUGAGGUUUUUUUUUUUGUCUUUUUUUCUUUCUAGUCCAGGCUCAUUGGGCAAGGUCUCACCACUUUAUUGAUAUUGUUGGUUUCUUGGAUUUACUGUGAUUUUUUUCUCCCCUUGAAGUUGGAUUUAUUAGGGCAUUUGUUUAAUCAGUGCCAGCACUGUUGUCUCCUCCCUGGAAUGAUAACUAGGACUUUGUUUUACAUACCAUCAUCCUCAUACUUGAGAUUAAUGUAAUGUGGGACUUCUGUCCCUUUCUUAAUUUUGAGCCAUGCCGCCCAUUCUCGAGUUUUUUCCUGUCUUCACUUCUCUUAGCAUUUUGAAUUCAGGAUAUAAUUGAAUUUGGAUGAGGUUCGGGUUUUGAACUAUGCUAUCGACGUCAAAUUCAAUAUGUAUUAUAAACAAAUUAAAAAUGAUUCUUAAGGAUUACCUUUAAGAUAAUGGCAAACACUUCUUCUCUGCAGCUUUUCCCUGUUAUUUUUCAUGUGACUCAUCUUGUGGAACUUUGGUUAUUGUUGCUGUAAAGCUCUGUUUGGAGAGGUUCACUUUCAUAUCCUGGGUCCUUUUAAUAGAUGUCUUUAAUAACUGAGGUAGUUAUUCCAAUCUAGCAAGCUGCUCAUUUUUUUUUUGGAGUUUAUUGAAUACUUGAUCUAUUAUUCUUACACCAUUUGUAUAUCAUUAUCAAAACUGUAAGUUAUCUUUUGGUAUUUUUAAAAAUCUAAUUCUAGCUAAUGCAGUAUUCUUAUUCUAUUGAGAGUUAUUUCAUUUUUAGAAGUAUUAAAAAUGACUUUAGUCAUUCAUUUCCUGUGUAUUUCUUGACAAGUGAAAUUUUUUGGAGCAGGAAUCUUUCUUGUCCUUUGUUUCUUUUUCAAUUUUCUAUAUCUUACAAUUUUCUUUGUGCCGAUGUGCCAAAAACUCAAACUCUUCUUUGUUCAAUGAGAAGUUUUAGAAUCUUUCCUAAAGUGACUAAAAAGAAAAGGACAAUGUUCAAUAAGACUCAAAGUCAUCUUUUGGCAUAGUUUAAAAAGUUGUUCUGGAUUAGGGUUAGGAUUAGUUUCACUGGAUGUUGUUUUGAAUUUGGAUCAAAAGAAUAAAGGAAUUAAGAAAAGUGUUGUGAUGAAUCAGAAACACUAUAAUUUGUGUUCUUCUCAAGAUUGAUUCCUAGAACUUCAGGCAGUUGAAUCUCAAAGUCAGAAAAACACCAAAACCACAUUAUCCACUCAGUCAUGUUGGACAUUCCCGUAGACUAUUUCCUGUGUCCUCUGAUAGUGACACAGUUCACUUGGUGAUAGUGACACUUGGUGAUGAUUGCUACUUAUCUGUUCAAAGAGAUUAACACAACAAAUAAAGGCAGCAGUAGCUAAAUCUAGACUGUAAGGCCCAAAAGAAAGCAACCAUCAUUGACUCAUCAGUCCAAGUAAAACCUGUUGUACACAAAAAGAAAACAGAAGUGUCUGCUAGAGGGAAAAUGUCAAAAAAAAGACAACUGGCCUGAUUGUUAAAGACAGACUAGGUGCACAUGGACAAGCUGUCUUAGCCAAGUAGAGCUCCACUGGCACUGACUCAGACUCCAAAGCUGCCUAUGAAAAAAUCAAAUGUUGUAAGGAAGAUAAAAUCUGCUGGGAGGCCAAACUCGACCAAGCACCGGUCCGCAAAGAACAAGUUGACCUCUGCCCGGAAAGGCCACCAAAUCACAGAUUUAAAAGAAAGAAUCAUUGUGGUCACUGUCCCUUUCAGCUGGCACCCUUUGCUGAGGCUUGGUUCUGCUCCUUGAUGCCACAUUGUGUUGCCUCCCUUUGUGUUUUUUUACAAUUUGUGUUCGUGUACGGCUGCAGGUUUUUUUAUCUGGAAUAAAUGGUGAAAUGGGCCUACAUGUUGUCUUGGUUAUUUGUUCAAUUCUGUGCCAAACCCAGCAAACAAAAUUAUGUAUAUCAAAGAAAUAUUCAGAAGGAUGAUAAAAAAAAAGAACUGAAGGCAAAAUCCUUAAACCUGGAGCACAACAGUAAGGAGAAAACAAAGCUACACAGUCUCAUGAAAGCAUCUAGCUCAUCAGCAACUUUAGAAGAGUGCUAAAACCAUCUGCAAAUAAAAACAUAUGAAUCUGAAGAGUCAAGCCAUCUGACUGAACUAGAUUCAUUAGAGGACUUAUGAUGAUGUCAUGAACACUCUACCUCUACAGAGCCAAGCAGUACCCUUCUUACAUUAUAGGCACCAGGCAAAUUAUUUUUAGAACCUUCAACAACCUGGUCUUUCUCUAGGUGAGAAUGGUCACCAAGUAUUUGUAGUCAUGGACCCAGCUCAGUUGGAACAGAUUUAGGUAAUGCUGGUCACCUUUCCCAUAAUUUUUUAACUUUUGGUUUAGCUAAGACAGUGAAAUGUGUUUUUAUCCUUGACAUUCAAUCACUUUUUUUUCAUACAUACAUACAAGGCAUUUAACUUGAUGCUUCCUAUCCAGUCAUUUCAUAGGAAAUGAGACUACCUAGGCUAUAUCACAUAUAAUUUGAAACUGACAUCUUUCCCAGAAAUAACAUUGUUAGGAUUCAAUGGAGACAUAAGCUUAUCAGGCAGUUUUCAAAUCUUUUUUUAGAACUUAAAAAAUACCAUUGAUUACACUAGUUUAUGUUUUCUCUAGCAACUGGCUGUUCAACUUUUGGAAAGUCUAAAGUAAUGAACAGACCAGUCUCAUGGGUUGGAAGAACAAAUAGCUGAAAGUAAAAAAGCAAGGCAAUAAAUUGAUGUUGAUGAAAGCUGUAUGAUCUUUUGCUCUAGAUUUAUUCAUCAGAAAAGUGUUGUGUCAACUGAAUCACUUAGUUGUUUGUGUUUUCAACAACAUGAACAUGUUUUUUUUUAUAUUUUUAACUUGUUUCGUUGUUUUUUUAUUUAUUCUAAAAAUUAUCUAAUCAAAUGUGUACAUAAAGUAUGAUACUUGAUUCAGUGCAACAACAAAUUGCACUCAGAAGAAUGAACUACUGUGUAGUCAUGUGAGGAGAUAAGAACUUUGAUCCACCCAUCAAACCACUGCAUUGUAGUUUAUUAAAAACUAUACCAGGAGCUUUUACUAAUUGUGUUUCUGUUCAGUAUAGUGUGGAGAGAAUGGUAGAGUGAUUGUGGGUGGGAUAGAGCUUUGUGUUUUGUCUAAUGAUUAAAAUAAUUAUAAAUACAAGCCAGCAGCUGUAUGCUGUCAAUUAAUCAAGUGUGGGAAUAUCAUAAGCUGGCCAUCCAACUAGUGGCAGUCCUAAAUCAACAUGUACAGUAUUUCUGUUUUGUAAACUAGGACUUGUUCUUGUUGCCUCAUUUUAUUUUAAUUGCUGACUCAUGAGAUGGAAAUAUUAUAUAUUUUUGAUGGAUCUGUUUACAUCUUAGUGUUACUUUGUAUUAUGUUAGUGAUGUCAAUGAUUUGUUCAAAUUGAAAACUGGAGUCAAAUGUUCUUUGGUGGAUAUUCAUGUUGAUUGCUGUGAAUGAGUUUUAAAUGGAAAAAAAAUAUUGAUAUGAAAGAUAUGAGCAUUUAUGUAUUCUUUAAAUAAGAUUAAAGUAAUCAUACCAAUGCU
This is a long non-coding RNA of Biomphalaria glabrata, 7867 nucleotides long. RefSeq lists it as uncharacterized. Lineage: Eukaryota; Metazoa; Mollusca; Gastropoda; Planorbidae. The transcript is spliced from 7 exons. The record is from RefSeq and is a predicted model, not a curated record.